UCGGGGGAAUCCCGCGAGGGGGAACCGGCGUGAGGGGCAGUGAGGCAUGGGUACCUACCUUUGGGUUCGGGAUAGCCAUCAGAGAUGGUGGGUGAUAUCCCGGAUGACGUCGUGAGACCAAAGAUCAGGCCCUUAGAGGGGCCCAUGUGAUAUUAGCUAGUUGGUGAGGUAAUGGCUCACCGAGGCGAAGAUGUCUAGCGGGUGUGGGAGCACGACCCGCGCCACUCGCACUGAGACACUGGCGAGACACCUACGGGUGGCUGCAGUCGAGGAUCUUCGGCAAUGAACGCAAGUUCGACCGAGCGACGCCGCGUGAGCGAUGGAGGCCUUCGGGUUGUAAAGCUCUUUAGUGGGGGAGAAAAGCCCGCGAGGGUGUGAUCUAUCCCAAAGAUAUCAGCACGGGCUAAGUUCGUGCCAGCAGCCGCGGUAAGACGAACCGUGCGAACGUUAUUCGGGAUAUCACUGGGCUUAGAGGGAGCGUAGGCGGACUAUCAAGCCUGGGGUGAAAUCCCGCGGCUCAACCGUGGAACUGCCUCAGAUACUGACGGUCUCGAGGGAGAUAGGGGCAUGCGGAACUGUAGGUGGAGCGGUGAAAUGCGUUGAUAUCUACAGGAACUCCGGUGGCGAAAGCGGCGUGCUGGAUCUCUUCUGACGCUGAGGCUCGAAAGCUAGGGGAGCAAACGGGAUUAGAUACCCCGGUAGUCCUAGCCCUAAACAAUG
This 720-nucleotide ribosomal RNA is filed under the name uncultured bacterium. RNAcentral describes it as "bacterial SSU rRNA". It matches the Rfam family "Bacterial small subunit ribosomal RNA", at positions 62 to 811 of the family's 1533-position model. The record is from RNAcentral.